CAGCAGCCACGGUAACACAGAGGGUGCGAGCGUUAAUCGGAUUUACUGGGCGUAAAGCGUGCGUAGGCGGCUUUUUAAGUCGGAUGUGAAAUCCCUGAGCUUAACUUAGGAAUUGCAUUCGAUACUGGGAAGCUAGAGUAUGGGAGAGGAUGGUAGAAUUCCAGGUGUAGCGGUGAAAUGCGUAGAGAUCUGGAGGAAUACCGAUGGCGAAGGCAGCCAUCUGGCCUAAUACUGACGCUGAGGUACGAAAGCAUGGGGAGCAAACAGGAUUAGAUACCCGUGUAGUCCCUGUCUCUUAUAU
RNAcentral lists this ribosomal RNA (301 nucleotides) under uncultured bacterium. Its description in RNAcentral is "partial 16S ribosomal RNA". It matches the Rfam family "Bacterial small subunit ribosomal RNA", at positions 509 to 809 of the family's 1533-position model. The record is from RNAcentral.